UGGGGAAUCUUGCGCAAUGCGCGAAAGCGUGACGCAGCAACGCCGCGUGAGGGAAGACGGCCUUCGGGUUGUAAACCUCUUUCAGUUGGGACGAAGCCUCUGCGGUUAAUACCCGUAUGAGGUGACGGUACCUUCAGAAGAAGCCCCGGCUAACUACGUGCCAGCAGCCGCGGUAAUACGUAGGGGGCAAGCGUUGUCCGGAAUCAUUGGGCGUAAAGCGCGUGUAGGCGGCUUGGUAAGUCCGCUCUGAAAGCCCGGGGCUCAACCCCGGGAGGCGGGUGGAUACUGUCAAGCUCGAGUCCGGAAGAGGCGAGUGGAAUUCCUGGUGUAGCGGUGAAAUGCGCAGAUAUCAGGAGGAACACCAAUGGCGAAGGCAGCUCGCUGGGACGUGACUGACGCUGAGACGCGAAAGCGUGGGGAGCAAACA
This 427-nucleotide ribosomal RNA is filed under the name uncultured Conexibacter sp. RNAcentral describes it as "bacterial SSU rRNA". It matches the Rfam family "Bacterial small subunit ribosomal RNA", at positions 355 to 774 of the family's 1533-position model. Lineage: Bacteria; Bacillati; Actinomycetota; Thermoleophilia; Solirubrobacterales; Conexibacteraceae. The record is from RNAcentral.